Molecule: ribosomal RNA, 460 nt
Filed under: uncultured bacterium
Lineage: Bacteria
Description: partial 16S ribosomal RNA
Rfam family: Bacterial small subunit ribosomal RNA
Source: RNAcentral
CCUACGGGAGGCAGCAGUGGGGAAUAUUGGUCAAUGGACGAGAGUCUGAACCAGCCAAGUAGCGUGAAGGAUGACUGCUCUAUGGGCUGUAAACUUCUUUUAUAUGGGAGUAAAAUGUUCCAAGUGUGGGUUUUUGUCUGUACCAUAUGAAUAAGGAUCGGCUAACUCCGUUCCAGCAGCGGCGGUACUAUGGAGGAUCCGAGCGUUAUCCGGAUUUAUUGGGUUUAAAGGAAGCGUAGGUGGAUUGUUAAGUCAGUUGUGAAAGUUUGCGGCUCAACCGUAAAAUUGCAGUUGAAACUGGCAGUCUUGAGUACAGUAGAGGUGGGCGGAAUUCGAUGUGUAGCGGUGAAAUGCGUAGAUAUCUCGAAGAACUCCAAUUGCGAAGGCAGCUCACUGGACUGCAACUGACACUGAGGCUCGAAAGUGUGGGUAGCAAACAGGAUUAGAUACCCGGGUAGUC